GGCAAACUGCUCAGUAACACGUCGAUAACCUGCCCUUAAGUCUGGAAUAACCUUGGGAAACUGAGGAUAAAACCGGAUAAGGAAAUCCUACUGGAAGGUGGAUUUCUUAAAAAGCAAUGCUUAAGGGUGGGUCGGCGGCGGAUUAGGUUGUUGGCGAGGUAAUGGCUCACCAAGCCGAAGAUCCGUAGGGGCCUUGAAAGAGGUAGCCCCGAGAAGGGCACUGAGAUACAGGCCCUAGCUCCACGGAGUGCAGCAGGCGCGAAACCUUCGCAAUGCACGCAAGUGUGACGAGGGAAUCCUGAGCGAUAAUGUUUUACAUUAUCUUUUGCCAAGAGCAAAUAUCUUGGCGAAUAAGUGGUGGGCAAUACCUGUGCCAGCCGCCGCGGUAACCCAGGAACCACAAGUGGCAACCACCUUUAUUUGGCCUAAAGCGUCCGUAGCCGGUUUUGUAAAUUUCCUGUGAAAUCGUUGCGCUUAACGUAACGACGCGCAGGAAAAACUGCAAGACUAGGGACCGGGAGGAGUCAGAGGUAUUUUGGGGGUAGCGGUAAAAUGCUAUAAUCCCCGAAGGACCACCUGUGGUGAAGACGUCUGACUAGAACGGAUUCGACGGUGAGGGACGAAAGCUAGGGGAGCAAUCCGGAUUAGAUACCCGAGUAGUCCUAGCCAUAAACUCUGCGAGUUAGGUGUUGCAUAAUCUUCGGGAUUGUGCAGUGUCGUAGUGAAGACGAUAAACUCGCCCCUGGGGAGUACGGUCGCAAGGCUGAAACUUAAGGGAAUUGGCGGGGGAGCACUACAAGGGGUGCGGCGUGCGGUUUAAUCCAAUUCAACACGGAGAAUCUCACCAGGAGCGACGGCAGGAUGAAGGACAGUCUAAAGGGCUUUCCUAACGAGCCGAGAGGUAGUGCAUGGCCGUCGUCAGCUCGUGCCGUAAGGUGUCUUGUUAAGUCAAGCAACGAGCGAGACCUGUAUUUACAAUUGCUAACGAGAACAGCAAUGUUUGAUUGAGCACAUUGUAAGGACUGCCCGUGAAAACGGGAGGAAGGCGCAGGCAACGGUAGGUCUGUAUGCUCCGAAUCUUCUGGGCUACACGCGCGCAACAAUGGUAGGUACAAUGGGAUGCAACGCCGAAAGGCGAAGCUAAUCCUCGAAAACCUAUCCUAGUCCAGAUUGUGGGUUGUAACUCACCCACAUGACGUUGGAAUCCCUAGUAAUCAGACUUUAGCAGAGUCCGGUGAAUAUGUCCCUGCUCCUUGCACACACCGCCCGUCAAACCACCCGAGCAGGGUUUAGAUGAGGUCCAAUUUUUAAUUGGUUCGAAUCUAAGCUCAGCGAGGAGGGUUAAGUCGUCACAAGGUA
Molecule: ribosomal RNA, 1359 nt
Filed under: metagenome
Description: bacterial SSU rRNA
Rfam family: Archaeal small subunit ribosomal RNA
Source: RNAcentral